This 519-nucleotide ribosomal RNA is filed under the name uncultured eukaryote. RNAcentral describes it as "SSU rRNA". It matches the Rfam family "Eukaryotic small subunit ribosomal RNA", at positions 1161 to 1696 of the family's 1831-position model. The record is from RNAcentral.
AGGGCACCACCAGAAGUGGAGCCUGCGGCUUAAUUUGACUCAACACGGGAAAACUCACCCGGCCCGGACACUGGAAGGAUUGACAGAUUGAGAGCUCUUUCUUGAUUCAGUGGGUGGUGGUGCAUGGCCGUUCUUAGUUGGUGGAGUGAUUUGUCUGGUUAAUUCCGAUAACGAGCGAGACUCUAUCCUACUAAAUAUGUGGUCAAGUUUACAAACACUUGAUCUCACUUCUUAGAGGGACAGGCGGUGAUUCAACCGCACGAAACAAGGCAAUAACAGGUCUGUGAUGCCCUUAGAUGUCCGGGGCCGCACGCGCGCUACACUGAAGUGAUCAGCGUGCUUUGCUAUGGCUACUCUGACAAGAGUGGGAAACCCCAUGAACCUUCUUCGUGAUUGGGAUAGGAGAUUGUAAUUAUUCUCCUUGAACGAGGAAUUCCCAGUAAGCGCGAGUCAUAUUGUCGCGUUGAUUACGUCCCUGCCCUUUGUACACACCGCCCGUCGCUACUACCGAUUGAAUGU